RNAcentral lists this ribosomal RNA (253 nucleotides) under uncultured bacterium. Its description in RNAcentral is "partial 16S ribosomal RNA". It matches the Rfam family "Bacterial small subunit ribosomal RNA", at positions 524 to 776 of the family's 1533-position model. The record is from RNAcentral.
UACGUAGGUGGCAAGCGUUGUCCGGAUUUACUGGGCGUAAAGAGCGCGCAGGCGGUCGAAUAAGUCGAAUGUGAAAGCCCCCGGCUUAACUGGGGAGGGUCAUUCGAUACUGCUCGACUUGAAGGCAGGAGAGGGAAGUGGAAUUCCCGGUGUAGUGGUGAAAUGCGUAGAUAUCGGGAGGAACACCAGUGGCGAAGGCGACCUCCUGGCCUGUUCUUGACGCUGAGGCGCGAAAGCUGGGGGAGCAAACGGG